Molecule: ribosomal RNA, 484 nt
Filed under: uncultured bacterium
Lineage: Bacteria
Description: partial 16S ribosomal RNA
Rfam family: Bacterial small subunit ribosomal RNA
Source: RNAcentral
AUUGAACGCUGGCGGCAGGCCUAACACAUGCAAGUCGAGCGGAUGAAGGGAGCUUGCUCCUGGAUUCAGCGGCGGACGGGCGAGUAAUGCCUAGGAAUCUGCCUGGUAGUGGGGGAUAACGUCCGGAAACGGGCGCUAAUACCGCAUACGUCCUGAGGGAGAAAGUGGGGGAUCUUCGGACCUCACGCUAUCAGAUGAGCCUAGGUCGGAUUAGCUAGUUGGUGGGGUAAAGGCCUACCAAGGCGACGAUCCGUAACUGGUCUGAGAGGAUGAUCAGUCACACUGGGACUGAGACACGGUCCAGACUCCUACGGGAGGCAGCAGUGGGGAAUAUUGGACAAUGGGCGAAAGCCUGAUCCAGCCAUGCCGCGUGUGUGAAGAGGGUCUUCGGAUUGUAAAGCACUUUAAGUUGGGAGGAAGGGCAGUAAGUUAAUACCUUGCUGUUUUGACGUUACCAACAGAAUAAGCACCGGCUAACUUCGUG